Molecule: ribosomal RNA, 894 nt
Filed under: uncultured Planctomycetota bacterium
Lineage: Bacteria; Pseudomonadati; Planctomycetota
Description: bacterial SSU rRNA
Rfam family: Bacterial small subunit ribosomal RNA
Source: RNAcentral
AGAGUUUGAUCCUAGCUCAGAAAGAACGUUGCCGGUGUGGAUUAGGCAUGCAAGUCGUGCGCGAAAUGUAGCAUACAUGGAGAGCGGCGAAAGGGAGAGUAAUACAUAGGUACGUACCCUUCGGGUCUGGGAUAGCGACGGGAAACUGCCGGUAAUGCCAGAUAACGUCUUCGGACCAAAGGUGUGAUUCCACCUGGGGAGCGGGCCUGUGGCCUAUUAGCUAGUUGGCGAGGUAAUGGCUCACCAAGGCAAAGAUGGGUAUGGGGCGUGAGAGCGUGCCCCCCACUCACUGGGACUGAGAUACUGCCCAGACACCUACGGGUGGCUGCAGUCGAGAAUCUUCGGCAAUGGGCGCAAGCCUGACCGAGCGACACCGCGUGCGGGAUGAAGGCCUUCGGGUUGUAAACCGCUGUCGUAGGGGAGGAAGGUCUUGCGAAGAGCAAGGCUUGACCGAUCCUAGGAGGAAGGGCCGGCUAAUCUCGUACCAGCAGCCGCGGUAAUACGAGAGGCCCAAACGUUAUUCGGAUUUACUGGGCUUAAAGAGUUCGUAGGCGGCUUGGAAAGUGGGGUGUGAAAGCCCUCGGCUCAACCGAGGAAUUGCGCUCCAAACUACCGAGCUUGAGUAGGCUAGAGGUGAGCAGAACUGAUGGUGGAGCGGUGAAAUGCGUUGAUAUCAUCAGGAAUACCGGAGGCGAAGGCGGCUCACUGGGACCUAACUCACGCUGAGGAACGAAAGCUAGGGGAGCAAACGGGAUUAGAUACCCCGGUAGUCCUAGCCGUAAACGGUGAGCACUGGACCGGGGGCCUGCACAGGCCCUCGGUCGUAGCGAAAGUGUUAAGUGCUCCGCCUGGGGAGUAUGGUCGCAAGGCUGAAACUCAAAUGAAUUGACGGGG